RNAcentral lists this ribosomal RNA (253 nucleotides) under uncultured bacterium. Its description in RNAcentral is "partial 16S ribosomal RNA". It matches the Rfam family "Bacterial small subunit ribosomal RNA", at positions 524 to 776 of the family's 1533-position model. The record is from RNAcentral.
UACGUAGGGGGCUAGCGUUGUCCGGAUUUAUUGGGCGUAAAGAGCGUGUAGGCGGCCAGGUAGGUCUGCUGUGAAAACUCGAGGCUCAACCUCGAGACGUCGGCGGAAACCAUCUGGCUAGAGUCCGGAAGAGGAGAGUGGAAUUCCUGGUGUAGCGGUGAAAUGUGUAGAGAUCGGGAGGAACACCGGUGGCGAAGGCGGUCUUCUGGACGGUGACUGACGCUGAGGCGCGAAAGCGUGGGGAGCAAACGGG